Molecule: long non-coding RNA, 1588 nt
Filed under: Hordeum vulgare
Lineage: Eukaryota; Viridiplantae; Streptophyta; Magnoliopsida; Poales; Poaceae
Description: long non-coding RNA (HVUL_LNC012759)
Source: RNAcentral
GAAACGGUUCGAUCGAUGGUUAAGGGAAGGCCGCACGAGAGAUGGCCUCGUCCACAAAGAACCACCUGCUCGAUCCCCAUCUGCCCCAGCGACAGCUAGGGUUCCUAGCCGUCGCCAGCGCCAUCACCGCCCUCCAUCGUUGUGUGCCAAGCCGUCGGCGUCGACUCCCGCGUCCGCCUCCCUACCGCGACAUCCUCCUUCAUCCAUUGCUCACCGGACCCCCUGCAUCCGCCUCCCAACCGUGACCUCAUCCCUCAUCGACCGCUCGCCGGAGCAGUGACCAGCAAGGGUCGCCGCUCGCGCUGACGACGGUGACACCUCCCUCUGCCCUGCCGCGACCUCCUACCUCCUCCACUGGUCGCCAGACCAUCUCCAUCGGCCUCCCCGCAGCAACCUCCUCCCUCCUCUGCUUGACGAACCAGUGAAAAACAAGGGUCGCCGCUCGCAUUGACGUCAGCAGCGCCUCUCACUCCCCAUCGUGACCUCCUCCCUCCAUUCUCCAAGGUAGUUGCAAGCCAUUCCUCCCACUCCCAUUCCUCUCCCACCUCUUGUACAAGUUGAAAUAGGAUGAAUUUUUAUGCUCUAUCUAUUAUAUUCUUGUGUAGAUGGAUGCAAGGAUGGAGGAGUGUCUAGAAAGGGACAAGGGGGAAUGAAACUUCUUGCUAUUGAAUCCAUAGAUGGAUCACAUGUCCCAGUGACGGUCCCUGCACAUGACGCGGUUAACCUUAGAUGUCGGCAUGAUUUUAAAUCUCAGAAUGUGCUUGCAAUAUGCGACUUUGCUAUCAUGUGGACUCUCGAUAUGCAAACUGAACAUGAUAUCUUGCUCCUUUUAAGGGGAGUACGUACCAUCUACCAAAAGUUCAUAUUCGGCGUCACCGUCCACCUCAAGGGAAGUAUGAGUUAUUAAACUUUUCACAUUUGUCCCUUCACAAUGUCGUUGAGCAUGCUUUUGUGGUGCUCAAGAAGAAACGACACAUAUUGAAAGGGGUCCCUAGUUUCUCACCUCGUACGCGAAAGCAUAUCAUCAUUGCUUGCAUGACAUUGCACAACUUCAUUCGUGGUAGCAAAUUGAGUGACUAAAUUUCUGAUAAAUGUGAUGCAGAUGAUGAGUAUGUACCCCAGUGCUACGACAAGUAGUACCACCAACGCAAGCGGAUCACAUUGAAGAGGAGGAGAACGAAGAUACCAUGGAUGCUAUUCGUAGUAGGAUAGCCGAUGGUUGUCUUGCGAUAGCAACCUAGGUUAGCUAUCUUGAUGGAGGUCAUCAUCAUGUGAACCAUAUGUACAUUCCAUGAUGCAUGCAUUUUGUAAAAUUAUUAUGGGUCAAUAUCUAUUUAUAUGUAACUAGCAAGGUGGCUCUCGCAAAUGCGAGGGCAUCAUCUUCUCCGUGUAAUUAAAAUGUGAAGUGCUUCAAUCAUGAUUCUUUUCACUAGAUACUCUCAUCAUAAAAUUAGAAACAAAUUAGUUUGUAGGCUAAUGGUAAGAGUAAGACUGUUCAUUCUCACAUAGGGUGGAUAUGUUGGGUGUCUUAUUCUUCGGAAAGAUCAUGUAAUGUAAAUCAAAAUUAUCGUCAAGGACACAUAUCACG